Molecule: transfer RNA, 49 nt
Filed under: Polarella glacialis
Lineage: Eukaryota; Dinophyceae; Suessiales; Suessiaceae
Description: partial Selenocysteine transfer RNA
Source: RNAcentral
CCAGGACUUCAAAUCUGCUGAGCUGGCUCGCGAGGGGUCUGUGUGGGUU